Micropterus salmoides (largemouth bass) is the source of this 384-nucleotide non-coding RNA. NCBI's taxonomy places the organism in Eukaryota, Metazoa, Chordata, Actinopteri, Centrarchiformes, Centrarchidae. The record is from the annotation of a RefSeq genome assembly.
ACUGCAGACAUGAACCACUGGCUGAGAAACAUCCUGAUUCUGACUCUCUGGCUAGAGUGUAAAGGAGAAGACAGAGUGACCCAGCCAGCAGGAGAUGUCAUUGCUGCUGAAGGAGCCACAGUUACACUUGACUGUACUUUUGAGACGAGUUACUCAGGUCCAACUUUGUUCUGGUACAAACAGGAUGGAGACAACAGCCCCAAAUUCAUACUGAGCCGCGUUCAACAGGAUGAUGGGAAAACAGAGGAAGAGUUUAAAGAAAGAUUUUCAUCCACACUGGAUUCCACCUCCAAAUCAGUUCCUCUGAAGAUCCAGAAGCUUCAGCUGUCUGACUCUGCUGUGUACUACUGUGCUCUGCGGCCCACAGUGACAGGAAACACCAAA